GCCCAAGUGGUGGAAUUGGUAGACACGCCAUCUUGAGGGGGUGGUGAUCGUAUGAUCGUGCGGGUUCAAGUCCCGCCUUGGGCA
This 84-nucleotide transfer RNA is filed under the name Endozoicomonas montiporae. It matches the Rfam family "tRNA". Rfam says of the family: Transfer RNA (tRNA) molecules are approximately 80 nucleotides in length. The record is from Rfam by way of RNAcentral. Lineage: Bacteria; Pseudomonadati; Pseudomonadota; Gammaproteobacteria; Oceanospirillales; Endozoicomonadaceae.